Molecule: ribosomal RNA, 253 nt
Filed under: uncultured bacterium
Lineage: Bacteria
Description: partial 16S ribosomal RNA
Rfam family: Bacterial small subunit ribosomal RNA
Source: RNAcentral
UACGUAGGCAGCAAGCGUUGUUCGGAAUUACUGGGCGUAAAGAGUGUGUAGGCGGUGUUCUAAGUCUGUCGUGAAAUCUCCCGGCUUAACCGGGAGGGUGCGGCGGAAACUGGAAUGCUUGAGGGUGGGAGAGGUAAGCGGAAUUCCUGGUGUAGCGGUGAAAUGCGUAGAUAUCAGGAGGAACACCUGUGGUGUAGACAGCUUACUGGACCACUUCUGACGCUGAGACGCGAAAGCGUGGGGAGCAAACAGG